GUAUAAGUUUUAUAGGCACAAGGGCCUAAUGAUUCAUUCUGUUACAUACAAUGGGGUAUAUGAAAAACAUAGGCUUGGAAAUGCAAGGACAGCCGGCUGGAUGCCAGCAGUCCUCCCGACCGAGUUGCCUCGGAAAGUCAAGUCCAAGUCUACAAGAGGUGCACAGGUGGAGAGAUGAGGAUGGUGGGUGUGCACAUGCCCCCGAGAGGGCCAGCAACAACCACACCAAGUUCAUUCAAUAAUGAUCCUUCCGCAGGUUCACCUACGGAAA
This 271-nucleotide unclassified non-coding RNA is filed under the name uncultured fungus. RNAcentral's name for it is "sequence contains ITS1". The record is from RNAcentral. Lineage: Eukaryota; Fungi.